Molecule: unclassified non-coding RNA, 403 nt
Filed under: Hevea brasiliensis (rubber tree)
Lineage: Eukaryota; Viridiplantae; Streptophyta; Magnoliopsida; Malpighiales; Euphorbiaceae
Source: RNAcentral
GAACUAUUAGGCAUUCCAAGAAUUUUAGUAAUCUUUCCUUCGUUACAUAUAUGGUUCCUAAAACAAAAAGAUUCACCAAAGGCAACCCAUACGAAUUAUCCAAAUUCAUCACUUACCAAUUACAUGAUGGUCUAAAAAUGUGGGCUAUUAUAAAUGCUUCACCCCCAUAGUAUGUCAUCAAUUUGAUACAAAUUAAGCUUCAGUUGAUCUGAAGGUAAAAGAUUUAAUGUGAAAACAGGUAACAUAUCACUGAAGACUGCAUCUUUAACUUCACCCUCCAAAUUAAGCUGUCCUCAACGGCGGAGAAACCAAUAUGACACCAUCUCCUCUGACAAAGAGAAAUGGAACUGUGCGCCUUGUAGUGCGAACAAUCUCUUCAUAAGUUUCGUCAUCAAUUUCUAGU